RNAcentral lists this ribosomal RNA (555 nucleotides) under Hymenoscyphus sp. B TL-2012. Its description in RNAcentral is "SSU rRNA". It matches the Rfam family "Bacterial small subunit ribosomal RNA", at positions 422 to 1105 of the family's 1533-position model. The record is from RNAcentral. Lineage: Eukaryota; Fungi; Ascomycota; Leotiomycetes; Helotiales; Helotiaceae.
UCAAUAAAGUUCUAAAUAGUGAUAAUAUGAUUAUGACAAAAAACUAUUUAUAAGUCUUGACCAAGAUACAUGCCAGCAGUCGCGGUAAGAUGUAAAAGACUAGUGUUAUUCAUCUUUAAUAGGUUUAAAGGGUACCUAGACGGUUUAUUUAGUCUUAAACAGGAUACGAAUAAUCUAGAGUUAUAUGUAAGCAGGUGAGUAUUUAUGGAGUAGAGUUGAAAUUCCUGAUACCAUAAAGACUGGUAAAGGCGAAAGCAACCUUUUAUCUAAUAACUGACGUUGAGGGACGAAGGCAUGGGUAGCGAACAGGAUUAGAUACCCUAGUAGUCCUUGCAGAAAAUGAUGAAUGCCAUAUAUAAAUGAAAGUGUAAGCAUUUCACCUCAAGAGUAAUGUGGCAACGCAGGAACUGAAAUCAUUAGGCCGUUUCUGAAACCAGUAGUGAAGUAUGUUAUUUAAUUCGUAGUUACGCGAAAAACCUUACCACACAAGUGUUGCAUGGCUGUCUGCAGUUAAUGUCGUGAGAUUUGGAUAACUCCAUGAAUUAACGGAAGCCC